Molecule: ribosomal RNA, 508 nt
Filed under: uncultured bacterium
Lineage: Bacteria
Description: bacterial SSU rRNA
Rfam family: Bacterial small subunit ribosomal RNA
Source: RNAcentral
AGAGUUUGAUCCUGGCUCAGGAUGAACGCUAGCGGCAGGCCUAAUACAUGCAAGUCAAGGGGGCAGCAAUGUCACCGGCGCACGGGUGCGUAACGCGUAUGCAACCUACCUUCAGCAGGGGAAUAACCUUUCGAAAGAAGGGCUAAUACCCCAUAAGACACAGAGUCUGCAUGGACUUAUUGUUAAAGCCUUCGGGUGGCUGAAGAUGGGCAUGCGUUGGAUUAGCUAGUUGGUAAGGUAACGGCUUACCAAGGCUCCGAUCCAUAGGGGGUCUGAGAGGAUGAUCCCCCACACUGGCACUGAGAUACGGGCCAGACUCCUACGGGAGGCAGCAGUAGGGAAUAUUGGGCAAUGGAGGAAACUCUGACCCAGCCAUGCCGCGUGCAGGACGAAGGGGCUCAGCCUUGUAAACUGCUUUUGCCAGGGAAUAAAACCACUUUGCGAAGUGAAUUGAAGGUACCUGGUGAAUAAGCACCGGCUAACUACGUGCCAGCAGCCGCGGUAAUAC